CAUGAGACGAUGAUGGGAAGCAGUAACAAGCACGUUUUUUGAAGAGAGCCGGCGGGUGGUGUGAGCCGGUAAAAACACUUGUGAAUCCGUCCCUGAGUAGCCGGGCUGAAACGUUUAGUAGGCCUGAGCCGGCAGUUGAGCCGUUAUUUCAAUGGAGUGGAUUGGACUUGGUUGUCCGGUCAAUUUGGGUGGCAACGCGGGUAGUUCUCGUCCCUUUU
Molecule: non-coding RNA, 218 nt
Filed under: Sporosarcina psychrophila
Lineage: Bacteria; Bacillati; Bacillota; Bacilli; Caryophanales; Caryophanaceae
Description: T-box sequence
Rfam family: T-box leader
About the family: Uncharged tRNA acts as the effector for transcription antitermination of genes in the T-box leader family. T-boxes are found upstream of many aminoacyl-tRNA synthetase genes and some amino acid biosynthetic genes usually in Gram-positive bacteria.
Source: RNAcentral